This 490-nucleotide ribosomal RNA is filed under the name uncultured bacterium. Its description in RNAcentral is "partial 16S ribosomal RNA". It matches the Rfam family "Bacterial small subunit ribosomal RNA", at positions 28 to 507 of the family's 1533-position model. The record is from RNAcentral.
GAUGAACGCUAGCUACAGGCUUAACACAUGCAAGUCGCGGGGCAGCAUGGGGGUUGCUUGCAAUCCCCGAUGGCGACCGGCGCACGGGUGAGUAACGCGUAUCCAACCUGCCCUUCACCACGGGAUAACCCGGCGAAAGUCGGACUAAUACCGUAUGUUGUCCAUUGACGGCAUCCGAUUUGGACGAAAGGUUUGGCGGUGAAGGAGGGGGAUGCGUCCGAUUGGCUGGACGGCGGGGUGACGGCCCACCGCGGCGACGAUCGGUAGGGGUUCUGAGAGGAAGGUCCCCCACACUGGAACUGGGACACGGUCCAGACUCCUACGGGAGGCAGCAGUGAGGAAUAUUGGUCAAUGGGCGUAAGCCUGAACCAGCCAAGUAGCGUGCAGGAUGACGGCCCUAUGGGUUGUAAACUGCUUUUAUGCGGGGAUAAAGUGGCCCACAUGUGGGUUUUUGCAGGUACCGCAUGAAUAAGGACCGGCUAAUUCCGUG